GAUGAAGAACGUAGCGAAAUGCGAUAAGUAAUGUGAAUUGCAGAAUUCAGUGAAUCAUCGAAUCUUUGAACGCACAUUGCGCCCGCCAGCACUCUAGCGGGCAUGCCUGUUCGAGCGUCAUUUCAACCAUCAAGCCCCCAGGGGCUUGUGCUGGGGCCCUGCGGCUGCCCGCAGGCCCUGAAAACCAGUGGCGGGCUCGCUAGUCACACCGAGCGCAGUAGCACAUCUCGCUCAGGGCGUGCGGCGGGCUCCUGCCGUGAAACCCCCCACUGUAACCCCAAAGGUUGACCUCGGAUCAGGUAGGAAUACCCGCUGAACUUAAGCAUAUCAAUAAGCGGAGGA
This 342-nucleotide unclassified non-coding RNA is filed under the name soil metagenome. Its description in RNAcentral is "partial contains 5.8S ribosomal RNA, internal transcribed spacer 2, and large subunit ribosomal RNA". The stretch from base 1 to 120 matches the Rfam family "5.8S ribosomal RNA", at positions 35 to 154 of the family's 154-position model. The record is from RNAcentral.